UACGAAGGGGGCUAGCGUUGCUCGGAAUUACUGGGCGUAAAGCGCACGUAGGCGGAUCCUUAAGUCGGUGGUGAAAUCCUGAAGCUCAACUUCAGAACUGCCUUCGAUACUGGGGACCUUGAGUUCGGGAGAGGUGAGUGGAACUGCGAGUGUAGAGGUGAAAUUCGUAGAUAUUCGCAAGAACACCAGUGGCGAAGGCGAGUCCCUGGACAACACCUGACACUGAGGCACGAAAGCCGGGGGAGCAAACAGG
This 253-nucleotide ribosomal RNA is filed under the name uncultured bacterium. Its description in RNAcentral is "partial 16S ribosomal RNA". It matches the Rfam family "Bacterial small subunit ribosomal RNA", at positions 524 to 776 of the family's 1533-position model. The record is from RNAcentral.